GUAUUAAGAAGUAGACAGUAAAUAUGUAGCUACAUUUAUUACACAAAUUAAAAACAGCAAAGGCAUCACGUUCAUGAUAUCGACACGUGUCACGAGGUCACCACCACAUCGGUUCAACAGACUGUAGUAUUAGUCAAUAGGGCCGGGUAGGUAACCAUCGGUUACAGAGACCAUCAGUAGAAAGGGUUUGUUGUCCAUUUCAUCAUGUUAAAAAUAAAAUUAAAAAAUAUAUUUAAAAAAAGGGGGCAUUCUGCUAUUAGUAAAGUGGUUUUUUUUGUAUGAACUACAGAUUGCCCCUUUAAGCAUGCCCCCAACAAACAGGAAGCGCUAACACACAAGGAGCUAGUCAGCUAUCCUACCCGACAACAGCCGGCGAUGUCCAAUCAAAUAAAAGCAUAGAAACUCAUCAGUCCUUUUUUUUUUUUUUUUUUUUUUUAGCGAGAAGAGAAGUUGUAGACGACACCUUUGGUAAAUAUGAAGAAACAGGCCCGUUUUAUGUAAUCCAUCUGAUAUCAGAAAGGUAAAGAAUAACAAACAUUUAUUCUGUAACACUGUAAUUAUUAUGCAACAUGUCAAGUUAAAAAGAGUACGUGAAAUGAAUGCCGUUGAAUAUAUUAGCCUCCCAAAUGGCACCCUAUUCCCUAUUUAAUGCACUACUUUAGGACCAAAAAGCACUGGGCUCUGGUCUAAAGUAGUGUUGCACUAUAUAGGGAAUAGGGUGCUAUUUGGGAUGCAGAAUAAGCCACAGAGGUACAGUCAGCAUUGGGGAUCCUGGAGUUGCUAUAGUAGAAUACAUGAAACGCCUCGUCCACUAGUCGAUGAGAUUACAUUCUGAAGAUGAUCGGUGAACUAACUCCACGUUGGUCCACGUUGGAGCUCUUGGAUCGUCCAGUUGGUUGUAGAAAUAACAGUCUUGGUACGUAAAGAGGCGAUGGAGGAAAAGGCAGGUUUGAGUCGGGUUCUAUCUCAGUUCAUCAUCACGUUCUUCACAACCAUAUUGGAGGAGAAGGUCGUCGUCGUCCCC
Molecule: long non-coding RNA, 1024 nt
Organism: Oncorhynchus tshawytscha (Chinook salmon)
Lineage: Eukaryota; Metazoa; Chordata; Actinopteri; Salmoniformes; Salmonidae
Source: Ensembl